AAAGAGACAAACAAAUGAGUUGAUAUGUCGCUAUCAUUGUAAGAGAAUCCAAUUCAUAAACACGACACUACAACAAAAAAACAAAAAAUAGAGAGAUUUGACAGAAGAAAUCAAGAAAACGAAACUUCUGAGAAACUUACGUACCUUAUCUCUUAUCUUUCCUUUUGAUGAUAAUAAUAACUAUAAGAGUUGGAACAAGUCGGAUUCAUGGCCCAUUCGAAGUUUCUACGAAGCUACCUAAUGACCAGGUGUCUUCGUUAACAACAAAACGCAUCGUCAUGAGAUGGAAUCACAGCCGUUCAUUUCUUCAACUCUCACAAUCCAACGUCGAUAGUUUCAAGAAGAGACUUUGUAGACCACACGAUUAUGUUCAGACGUGACAACCACAUCUGUACACAUCAACUCACACUUUGUAUAUCUACCCCCAUUGCACUCAAAUCAAAACAGUUCACAAAUUUUCUUCUCUCCUCAUGGAACCGCCAAGCAAGAAACCUUUUGUAGCUACUACUACGAAGAUGGAGAC
This 523-nucleotide long non-coding RNA is filed under the name Brassica rapa (field mustard). RNAcentral describes it as "long non-coding RNA (BRAP_LNC003153)". Lineage: Eukaryota; Viridiplantae; Streptophyta; Magnoliopsida; Brassicales; Brassicaceae. The record is from RNAcentral.